Molecule: long non-coding RNA, 7895 nt
Filed under: Homo sapiens (human)
Lineage: Eukaryota; Metazoa; Chordata; Mammalia; Primates; Hominidae
Description: non-protein coding lnc-NLRP12-1:9
Source: RNAcentral
GCGGGCAGUGGCUAUUUUCUUCUCUCUGCCAAAGCAGGACACGUUAUUCUUAACACAGAGGGCCACAUCGCUGUCCCUCACAAAUACUUCAGACAGUUGUCUUCAACAUCCUGUGGUUCUUCGUCCGAUUCCUUUUUUUUUUUGAGAUGGAGUCUCGCUCUGUCCCCCAGGCUGGAGCACAGUGGUGCCAUCUUGACUUACUGCAACCUCCACCUCCCGGGUUGAAGGGAUUCUCCUGUCUCAGUCCCCCCAAAUACCUGGGAUUACAGGCGCCCGCCACCACGCCCGGCUAAUUUUUGUAUUUUUAAUAGAGACAUGCUUUCACCAUGUUGGCCAGGCUGGUCUUGAACUCCUGACUUCAGAUGAUUGCCUGACUUGGUCUCCCAAAGUGCUGGGAUUACAGGCGUGAGCCACCACGCCCGGCCCCGACUCCUUCUUUUUUUUUUUUUUUCUUUUUGAUACCACAGAGAAUAGUUGGGAUGAAAGGCAUCCAGCCCCUGCUUCCUUUAAGAUGGCCUCUAGGCAGUGGGUGUUCUGUAAGCCUGGCAAAAAUUCUGGAGCCAAUCUCUGGCAAGGCUGAGUGCCAGGCGGGGCCUAGGGACCCAGGGUCGGUGCUUAAAGCCUCCCGCCCAUUGGAAAUUACUGACCUCCAAAUAUAUAUAUAUAUAUGUUUUUUAAUUUAAAGGGGAAGUACACUGCACACCUUCCUCCACUGGGAGAAAGAGGGCCCAAUCCCCAGCUACCCACCCCCCACCCCCCAAACACACACACACACACACACACACACACACACGUACACACUGACUAAGGCACAGCGAGGGUGGGCAGGCAUGCUUUGGCAAUGGGGCCCCUUGGGGGGCUGUGGCAUGGACGGCUGCAAGGGGUGUGGAUGUGAGCUCAGCACCUUUGGAGGUGGGUGGAGGCAAGGAGAGAAAGAAGUCUCAGGGCUCCCAAGGACACAGGAGAAGGUGCUUGCAAAACAGGCAGAUAAGAAAGCCGACAGGCAACCCAGAAAAGAGAUGAGAAAAAAGAAGAGUGGAAAAAGAGAAACAGGCUGGGUGCGGCAGCUCACACCUGUCCUCCCAGCUACUUGGGAGGCUGGGGCAGGAGAAUCGCUUGAACCCAGGAGGCGGGGGUUGCAGUGAGUCGAGAUCGCACCACUGCACUCCAGCCUGGGCCACAGAGUGAGAAUCCGUCUUAAAAAAAAAAAAAAAAAAAAAAGAAAAGAAAAAGAGAAACAGCUCAGGGGUGAAAACAGGAUGUGGGCAACAAAACAACACAGGAAGGAAACAGCAAGAGGAAAGGGAAGGAAGAAGAUGCAUCCAAGAACUGGUUAGAGUGCAAGGAAUUGGGAAGGAAAGAAAAAGGUGGGAGGGAGGGGAGACAGGAAGAGGAAAACAGAGGAAAGGCAUGGCUGCGGCUGCAGCUUACAUCUCUCGAGCGCCGAGGCUGGCCGCCAUACUUCUCAUCGAACUGGUAGAGGGGCCAGAGAACAAGGGCGGUGGCAUAGAGGAGGACAGACAGCAAGGCCAGCCCCGACAGGAAGCUGGGGAAGGGGAUGGGUAGCACGUUGGUGCACUCCCCCAGGUUCAGCAGGAUGGCGAUGGCCGCUAGGAUGAAGCAGAUGGCGUACACCGCCACGCACCACUCCAGGGCCGGCUGGUGCUGGUACAGGUUGGGGUCGCUGAUGAACGCGAAGAUGAUGCAGGCAACGAAGGUCUCCAGCACCUUCAGCAGCCCGGGUACGGUGGCCAUAUAGCCAGUGAUCUCGCCGGGCCGGGCCCGGGUCCAGGCCACUUCGGUGGCGUAAGCCACACACGCGAUGCAGGAGAAGAAGGUGGCGGCGAUGGCGUGGUCCCGCGAACGGCCGUGGGACAGGAACUGGACAUAGGUGGUGGGGUAGAUGAUGGAGGCCGAGAGGCAGAAGAGGGCCGCAUAGCAGGCGAAGGUGAUGGGGAAGUUGCGCCAAGACAGGGGGAAGCGGGCCUGGAGCCCGCACAGCUCCACGAUGAGGAUGAUCAGGGUCACGGAGAAGCAGAAGCACCAGGUGAACAUGGACCAGUUGCCCAUGGACCCCGUCCAGGCGCCCACGCUAGCCACCAGCGAGAAGGCCACGCAGGUAGACACCAGCUGCAGCAGGCGAAGGAGACCCAGGGGCUGUGUCAGGGCCCGAGGGGACCCCACGAUCAUGGGGGACCCCAGGCCCGAAGAUGACGUCGUGGUGGUUGUGAUGGUGGUGCGGGUUACCGUCACUGGCAUGGCUGCAAAAAGGGGAAAGACAGUGUCCUUAUACAGUCACAAACAUAAGAAUCCAGGUCCCUUAGCCAUUGCCUACCCCAGGGACAAAUUAAUAUGAGCUCUAAUUAGGGAGUUCCCAAGAUGUGGGGCUUUCGGUUUUCUUUUCUUUUUUUUUUUUUGAGACAGAGUCUUGCUCUGUGGCCCAGGCUGGAGUGCAUUGGCACAAUCUCAGCUCACUACAACCUCUGCUACUCAGGUUCAAGUGAUUCUCCUGCCUCAGCCUCCCGAGUAGCUGAGAUUACAGGCAUGUGCCACCACGCCCGGCUAAUUUUUUUGUAUUUUUAGUAGAGACGGGGUUUCACUGUGUUAGCCAGGAUGGUCUCGAUCUCCUGACCUCAUGAUCCGCUGGCCUUGGCCUCCCAAAGUGCUGGGAUUAUAGGCGUGAGCCACCGGGCCCAGCCUUGGGUUUUCAAAUGGGGACAGUCCUGGGCAUACAGGGAUGAGCCUGUCCCCUCCGGUUCAAGGCUCACUCCUCCCCUACUCGUAUCAGAAUCCAGGAGUCUAGGCCCCUAUUUUCCUCCUUCUCAAGAGAUUCUUCUCUCUUUCAAGACCUAACUACUGUACAACUACACUGUUUGCUUCCCACUCCAGAUACCGUGCUUCCCUCUUUCCCUCCCUCCCCAAGGGACUCAGUAGCUCAGCCAUUUAGCACUCUGUACUCUAUAGCACCACCCCUCUGGCCAGGCACAGGUGUGGCUGAUGCCUGUAAUCCCAGCACUCCAAGAGGCUGAGGCAGGAGGAUUGCUUGAGCCCAGGAGUUGGAGACCAGCCUGGGCAACCUUAGGGAGACCUCAUUUACCAAAAAAAAAUUUUUUAAUUAGCUGGGUGUGGUGGUGUGUGCGUGUGGUCCCAGCUACUCGGGAUGCUGAGGUGGGAGGAUUGCUUGAGCCUGUGGGGUCAGGGCUGCAGUGAGCUGUGAUGCACCAGUGCACUCCAGCCUGGGAGACAGAGUGAGACCCUGACUCAAAAAAAAAAAAUUUUUUUUAAUUACAAAUAGGCCGGGUGUGGUGGCUCACACUUGUAAUCCCAGCACUUCGGAGGCCAAGGUGGGUGGAUCACUUGAGGUCAGGAGUUGGAGACCAGCCUGGCCAACGUGGCGACACUCGGUCUCUACUAAUAAUACAAAAAUUAUCUGGGCGUGGUGGCAUGCACCUGCAAUCCCAGCUACUCGGGAGACUGAGGCAGGAGAAUCACUUGAACCCAGGAGGCAGAGGUUGCAGUGAGCCAAGAUAGAACCCCUGCACUCCAGCCUGAGCCACAGAGCCACACUCCGCCUCAAAAAAAAUAAAAUAAUCUGGGCGCAGUGGCUCAUGCCUGUAAUCCCAGCACUUUCGGAAGCCGAGGCUGGCAGAUCACUUGAGGUCAGAAGUUCAAGACCAGCCUGACCAACAUGGUGAAACCCCGUCUCUACUAAAAAUACAAAAAUCAGCUGGGUGUGGUGGUGGGCGCUUGUAAUCGCAGCUACUUGGGAGGCUGAGGCAGGAGAAUCGCUUGAACCCUAGAGGUGGAGGUUGCAGUGAGCCGAGAUUGCGCCACUGCACUCCAGCCCGGGUGACAUGAGUGAAACUCCAUCUCAAAAAAUAAAAUAAAAUAAUAAAAAUAAAUAAAAUAAAUAAAAAAUAAAGCAUCCUCCUUCUGCCUCCUGCCACAACCCAAGUGUCAGAACAAAACGCUUGUCUUCCACAGGCUCUGAAAACCCCAUCUCUCAACUUCCUUUUCUUUCAGUAUUCAGAGCUCUGCACCCCAGACCCUGUGAGCAAACUUCCUUCUUCCAUCGAACAGUGACCUAGACAUUUGCAGCCUCUAAACGGCCCAACCUCCCCAGGCUUCCACUCUCAGGGACCCACAUCUAAUAAGAGCUCCGACCUCCCGAUAAAGGAUAUCUUCUCAUAGAGAUCCCAGCCGUGGAAAACCAAGAGAUCUCCCCUCCCUUCUGACAAGGAGCCUAAACUCUUAGCGGCCUCCUCCUCUCCCUACCCCCCACCUUGGAGAUUAGCAACCUUCACUCUCAGUCUAACUCCCACCUGAGAUUUAGGACUGGAGUACUGCAACCCAAAAAAGCUAGUUUGAGCCUCCCCCUCCACACUCCUGCAUACUGAGUCCAUCUACCUCCACCUUCUCUCCCCAAAACCCAGCCAGCUGGUCCCCCAGCUUCUGGGAAACUCAGCUCCCCAGAUUUCCAACUGUCCAGUAGGAACCCCAGGCCCUUCCACUGAACUCUCUCUAGGCCUCACAAUCCUGUUUUUUGGUUGUUGUUUUUUUUACAUGGAGUCGCUCUGUCACCCAGGCUGCAGUGCAAUGGUGCGAUCUUGACUCACGGCAACCUCCGCCUCCCGGAUUCAAGCGAUUCUCCUGCCUCAGCCUCCUGAGUAGCUGGGAUUACAGGUGUGUGCCACCAUGCUCGGCUAAUUUUUGUAUUUUCAGUAGAGAUGGGGUUUCGCCAUGUUGGCCAGGCUGGUCUCAAACUCCUGACCUCAAGUGAUCCGCCCGCCUUGGCCUCCCAAAGUGCUGGGAUUACAGGCAUGAGCCACUGCGCCUGGCCAUCACCGUCCUGUUAUAAGGGGUCAGACCUCUGGCCCUGGACCCUUAGCCUGAAGGAUCCCAGAUGCCCCAGACUCCAGAAAACCAAUUUGCUUCUUUAGUCCUUGCAAAACCUACAGCUUCCACCUCCUUGUCCUAAUGGCCCCCAGGAAUCAAGUGCCCGUCCUCUUAGAAACCAGGUGCCCAGUUCUUUCCUUAGGCUGUAAACUGUCUCAACGCAGCCACAGGACUAAACCCAAGGCCUCUCCUAGCCACAGGAAAGUAACUUCCUCCUUUCAGCUUCAGGCACUUUGCAGGGCAGUAGCACAGGCCUUAACCUCUUCGUGGCAGUCGCAGGACAGCAGCUCCCUGAGACAAAGGAGCCAGGGCCUGGACUCGCUUCUUCCUCAGAUACCUCAGUGUCUGGGACCCUAUUCCUUGGAGCCCAAGCUUCCUGGUCCUUCUCCCAGGAUCUAGGAGCCCAGGACCUAAUCCUUCCUCCUUCAGACCCACGAGUCCAGACCCCAGCCCCUCCUCCCUCAGACCCAGGAGCCCAGGCCCCCAGCCCCUCCUCCCUCAGACCCAGGAGCCCAGGCCCCCAGCCCCUCCUCCCUCGGACCCAGGAGUCCAGACCCCAGCCCCUCCUCCCUCGGACCCCGGAGUCCAGGCCCCCAGCCCCUCCUCCCUCGGACCCCGGAGUCCAGGCCCCCAGCCCCUCCUCCCUCGGACCCAGGAGUCCAGACCCCAGCCCCUCCUCCCUCGGACCCAGGAGUCCAGACCCCAGCCCCUCCUCCCUCGGACCCAGGAGCCCAGGCCCCCAGCCCCUCCUUCCUCGGACCCAGGAGUCCAGACCCCAGCCCCUCCUUCCUCGGACCCAGGAGUCCAGACCCCAGCCCCUCCUCCCUCGGACCCCGGAGUCCAGACCCCCAGCCCCUCCUCCCUCGGACCCAGGAGCCCAGGCCCCCAGCCCCUCCUCCCUCGGACCCAGGAGCCCAGGCCCCCAGGCCCCCAGCCCCUCCUCCCUCGGACCGAGGAGCCCAGGCCCCCAGCCCCUCCUCCCUCGGACCCCGGAGUCCAGGCCCCCAGCCCCUCCUCCCUCGGACCCCGGAGUCCAGGCCCGCUGCCUACUCACCAGCGGUCUUAGCAGAGGAAUCCACGGAGAAAGAUCUGGUGGUGGAGACGGAUUAAGCCACACUUGGAACAGGCUGUAAGAGCACCUGAGGGGGAGGUAGGCCGUUAGCGUCCGUUUGGACAGGCUCCUCCCUCUAGGGAUCGAACGCCCUGCGGAGACAGGAACGUGGCGUGGAACCCAGCAGGGCCCUGGCGGUGACCCCGGGUAAGCCCCGCCCCCUCCCCUCCCCGUUCAGUUAACUGUUUGGGCUGCGGCGGACGGAACCCAGCGAAAGUGCACGCCCCGCGGGCCGGCGUGGGCGCGUGUGUGAUCUUAACCCCGCGGGGGCGGGGGUGCGGGCGGCAGUGGCGGGAGAACCCUGGGCGGCGGCUGUGGAGGCGGGCGGCCCAGCCAGAGCCGGUGUCUCCGCGCCUUAUAAGGGCUUCGAGUCGGCCCAGGCAUCUGGAAUGUGUCAGGGACCAGGAGGCGGUGCCCGGACCCCCGCCCGCCUCCGGGGCUGCCCGCCCUCUCCCGGAUUUCCGGGGGGUGGGGACCCCGACUCUCAGGGUUGGAGGCCUGCAUUUCUGGAUCCCUAUAAACAUGGGCUGAGAGCCCCCCCAAGAGCAUCUCUAAGACCGGAGUGGGCAGGGACCCGGGCCUCUGAGGGGCUCAGGCUCCAGGCCGGAAACUGCACGCGGUGCUGGCGUCAGGCCCGAGGCCCAGCUACGCCUCCCACGGCCUCCCUAAUCGCCAUUCGGGGCUUGCGGGAGCACCUGGGAGGCUCCACCCGGAGCCAGACACUGCCUGCCCCCACGCCCCUCCAGGACCCUCGAAGGAGAAGGAAAUCGGGACUGGCCCAGCGUCCCGUGCUCUAGAAGGCGGGCUACUGCCCCGUCCCAAGCAGGGGAGGAGGACGAGCGAGGGCGUCACUCAUUCUGUCCCCCGCGGAAGGUGGGCUAGCCGCGGAGGGGGGCGCGCAGGGGAGGGGGGCGCGCCGAGGGGAGGGGAGGGGAGGGGUCCACCCCGCCCUUAGGGCCUCCAGCCAUCGCCCGAGAUCAGAGCUCAGGAAUGCGCAGCCAGACCCUGGAGGGUGAGGAAACACCCCUCCGGGAUUCCUCGCAGCGCACCCGACUCUCCGGGCCACACCCAGCCCCUCAGUGUCCUCCCUCGUCCACUCCAGACGCCACACCCAUCGCUCACGCUGAGAAUCGGGCCCCGGAACCCCAGCUUCGGCUCUCGGCACCCAGAGGUGCGGGACGCAGCCCUGUCUUCUCCUCCUUUCCCAGCUCCUUCUGCACUUCGGAAGCACGGGGCUGGAUCUUAACACCCCCCUCCCUCGGCCUUUCAGGAGCCCAAAGUUCCGAUUCUGUCUGUCCCCUGGAUGGGGAGGGGUCAGUAAUUCUGAAUUCCUUCCAUUCUCAUUCCCAAACCCAGGACACCUAACCCUAAGCGCUUCCCCUCCUAAAGGACCUCCACGUACCAGAUUCCAGCCUCCAACUAGGGCACCUACGAGUCCCCAUCUCUCUACUCCCGCAGACCCAGCCCCUCCUCCCUCAGACUCAGGAGUCCAGGCCCAGCUCCUCCUCCCUCAGACCCAGGAGUCCAGGCCCUCAGCCCCUCCUCCCUCGGACCCAGGAGUCCAGACCCCCCAGCCCCUCCUGCCUCGGACCCGGGAGUCCAGACCCCCAGCCCCUCCUCCCUCAGACCCCGGAGUCCAGGUCCCCUUCCCCACUCUUCCAGACGUAUGACCUCCACAGUCCAGGUCCUCAGCCCUCUCCUCUGCAGAACCCCAAGAAUCCUGGCCCAGCCCCAGUCUUUCUAGGGACCCAGACAUUCUGAGACCCAGCCCAUUCCUCUCUCUGGCCAUAAAGACCCUAGACUGUUGCUUAUGCCCUCUGGGGUCCCCACAACCUCACCUCAGGCAGCCAGUGGCGACUGCGGCUGAAGCAAAGACGACAGCGGCAGC